CGCCUCUUGAACAAAAAACAUAAGAGGUACUGCCUGCCCAGUGACAACCGUUCAACGGCCGCGGUAUCAUGACCGUGCAAAGGUAGCGUAAUCACUUGUCUUUUAAAUAAAGACCAGUAUGAAUGGCAAAACGAAAGCUCAACUGUCUCCCCAGGCCAGUCAAUGAAAUUGAUCCCCCCGUGAAGAAGCGGGGGUAUUUAUACAAGACGAGAAGACCCUAUGGAGCUUUAAACCUGACUAACUUCACCAAAACAAUAUUUAAUAAAUGAUUUUUAUAUAAGGUUUUAGGUUGGGGCGACCACGGGGAAAAACCCAACCCCCGAGAUGAAUAUAAGCCUAGAAAAACUACUCAAAGCAACAAUAAUCUUGACAUAAUUGACCCAAUAAUUGAUCAACGAACCAAGUUACCCUAGGGAUAACAGCGCAAUCCUCCCACAAAGUCCCUAUCGACGGGCGGGUUUACGACCUCGAUGUUGGAUCAGGACCCCCAAAUGGUGCAACCGCUAUUAAAGGUUCGUUUGUUCAACGAUUAUAGUCCU
RNAcentral lists this ribosomal RNA (539 nucleotides) under Gyrinophilus porphyriticus (spring salamander). RNAcentral's name for it is "partial 16S ribosomal RNA". It matches the Rfam family "Bacterial large subunit ribosomal RNA", at positions 1816 to 2597 of the family's 2925-position model. The record is from RNAcentral. Lineage: Eukaryota; Metazoa; Chordata; Amphibia; Caudata; Plethodontidae.